CGUCCUACCUGCUUCAGGGCCCUCUACUUCUUCCCCCAAGAUUGCCAUUAUGAUUAACAAAUCUGACGAGAGCAAUUUAAUUGGUGACACAUCAUAUUUAUUCUGCAACUGCAUGUGAAUUCUCAUCUUGCGCCUACCUCUUUUGCUUACCAGUGAAGAUGGAGAGCUUUAGGCAAAAAAAGAAAAAAAAACUAGCACGUGAUCUAUGGAGAAUAAUUUUGACAGCAACUCCAACUAUGCAAUGGAGUACACUUGAUGCAAUCAAUUCUGGUGUGUGUGUGUGUGUGAUGCAAUGACGUGUGAAUAACAACAGAAAAAUAUGCCUGAGGAGUAUGGGUAUGUAGUAACAUUUCUCUGUUAUUUUCGGAACAACUUGGAAUAUCUUAUUGGUAGUUUAUAUACAAAGUCAUUUUGAUAAUUAUCAUGCUGCAAACCUACAUAGUUUUCUAUAUUAAUCAUGUCAUGUUAAAAUAUAAAAGUUAUAGCUUCAAUAAAUUGAUAAAAUACAGAUUUGGGCUUUACAUAUUUAUUGAAUAUAUAUUUACAUAUGAAUACGUCGUUACAGUCGGACUCUAGCGAGCAGCAGUGG
Triticum urartu is the source of this 589-nucleotide non-coding RNA. The record is from RefSeq and is a predicted model, not a curated record. Lineage: Eukaryota; Viridiplantae; Streptophyta; Magnoliopsida; Poales; Poaceae.